This 301-nucleotide ribosomal RNA is filed under the name uncultured bacterium. Its description in RNAcentral is "partial 16S ribosomal RNA". It matches the Rfam family "Bacterial small subunit ribosomal RNA", at positions 509 to 807 of the family's 1533-position model. The record is from RNAcentral.
CAGUAGCCACGGGAAUACGGAGGGGGCUAGCGUUGUUCGGAAUUACUGGGCGUAAAGCGCACGUAGGCGGCUUGGUAAGUUAGAGGUGAAAGCCCGGAGCUCAACUCCGGAAUUGCCUUUAAGACUGCCGAGCUAGUAGGUGAGAGAGGUAAGUGGAAUUCCGAGUGUAGAGGUGAAAUUCGUAGAUAUUCGGAAGAACACCAGUGGCGAAGGCGGCUUACUGGCUCAUUCUAGACGCUGAGGUGCGAAAGCGUGGGGAGCAAACAGGAUUAGAUACCCCCGUAGUCCCUGUCUCUUAUAC